Molecule: transfer RNA, 86 nt
Filed under: Actinomycetota bacterium
Lineage: Bacteria; Bacillati; Actinomycetota
Description: Actinobacteria bacterium tRNA-Leu
Rfam family: tRNA
About the family: Transfer RNA (tRNA) molecules are approximately 80 nucleotides in length. Their secondary structure includes four short double-helical elements and three loops (D, anti-codon, and T loops).
Source: RNAcentral
GCCCGGGUGGUGGAACUGGCAGACACGGGGGGCUUAAACCCCCCUUCCCCGAGAGGGGAGUGUGGGUUCGAACCCCACCCCGGGCA